CCUACGGGAGGCAGCAGUGAGGAAUAUUGGUCAAUGGACGAGAGUCUGAACCAGCCAAGUAGCGUGAAGGAUGACUGCCCUAUGGGUUGUAAACUUCUUUUAUAUGGGAAUAAAACGUUCCACGUGUGGGAUUUUGUAUGUACCAAAUGAAUAAGGAUCGGCUAACUCCGUGCCAGCAGCCGCGGUAAUACGGAGGAUCCGAGCGUUAUCCGGAUUUAUUGGGUUUAAAGGGAGCGUAGGUGGAUUGUUAAGUCAGUUGUGAAAGUUUGCGGCUCAACCGUAAAAUUGCAGUUGAAACUGGCAGUCUUGAGUACAGUAGAGGUGGGCGGAAUUCGUGGUGUAGCGGUGAAAUGCUUAGAUAUCACGAAGAACUCCGAUUGCGAAGGCAGUUCACUGGACUGCAACUGACACUGAGGCUCGAAAGUGUGGGUAUCAAACAGGAUUAGAUACCCCAGUAGUC
Molecule: ribosomal RNA, 460 nt
Filed under: uncultured bacterium
Lineage: Bacteria
Description: partial 16S ribosomal RNA
Rfam family: Bacterial small subunit ribosomal RNA
Source: RNAcentral